Molecule: ribosomal RNA, 303 nt
Filed under: uncultured bacterium
Lineage: Bacteria
Description: partial 16S ribosomal RNA
Rfam family: Bacterial small subunit ribosomal RNA
Source: RNAcentral
AGCAGCCGCCGCGGUAAUACGUAGGUGGCAAGCGUUGUCCGGAAUUAUUGGGCGUAAAGCGCGCGCAGGUGGUUUAAUAAGUCUGAUGUGAAAGCCCACGGCUCAACCGUGGAGGGUCAUUGGAAACUGUUAAACUUGAGUGCAGGAGAGAAAAGUGGAAUUCCUAGUGUAGCGGUGAAAUGCGUAGAGAUUAGGAGGAACACCAGUGGCGAAGGCGGCUUUUUGGCCUGUAACUGACACUGAGGCGCGAAAGCGUGGGGAGCAAACAGGAUUAGAUACCCGGGUAGUCCCUGUCUCUUAUAC